UCAGCAUGCAGAUGUUUUUUUUUCAUACGGUGAGCUGGUUAAGCACGCAACUUUUUUUUUCCAUUUCUCUCAAGGAACACAUCUUUUUCGUUCUACUUAUCUCCAUUACAAGCAUCAAUCCCAAUAUCCCAUCAUAGAGAAGCAACUACACAGAAGUUACGGUUACUAAAGAGCUGAUAUCCAAAAGUUACUUUGUCUAGGUAAAAAAAUGUCAAACCCUCACGAGAGUUACAACCAAGUGCAGCUAGCA
RNAcentral lists this long non-coding RNA (250 nucleotides) under Brachypodium distachyon (stiff brome). RNAcentral describes it as "long non-coding RNA (BDIS_LNC002320)". The record is from RNAcentral. Lineage: Eukaryota; Viridiplantae; Streptophyta; Magnoliopsida; Poales; Poaceae.